GAUGAACGCUGGCGGCGUGCCUAAUACAUGCAAGUCGAGCGAACGGACGAGAAGCUUGCUUUUCUGAUGUUAGCGGCGGACGGGUGAGUAAAACGUGGAUAACCUACUUAUCAGACUGGGAUAACUUGGGGAAACCGGAGCUAAUACCGGAUAAUAUUCUGCACCGCAUGGUUCAAAAGUGAAAGUCGGCCUUGCUGUCACUAAUAGAUGCAUCUGCGCUGCAUUAGCUAGUUGGUAAGGUAACGGCUUACCAAGGCAACGAUGCAUAGCCGACCUGAGAGGGUGAUCGGCCACACGGGAACUGAGACACGGUCCAGACUCCUGCGGGAGGCAGCAGUAGGGAAUCUUCCGCAAUGGGCGAAAGCCUGACGGAGCAACGCCGCGUGAGUGAUGAAGGUCUUCGGAUCGUAAAACUCUGUUAUUAGGGAAGAACAUAUGUGUAAGUAACUGUGCACAUCUUGACGGUACCUAAUCAGAAAGCCACGGCUAACUACGUG
RNAcentral lists this ribosomal RNA (497 nucleotides) under uncultured bacterium. RNAcentral describes it as "partial 16S ribosomal RNA". It matches the Rfam family "Bacterial small subunit ribosomal RNA", at positions 28 to 507 of the family's 1533-position model. The record is from RNAcentral.